Molecule: long non-coding RNA, 1434 nt
Organism: Symphalangus syndactylus (siamang)
Lineage: Eukaryota; Metazoa; Chordata; Mammalia; Primates; Hylobatidae
Source: RefSeq, a predicted model, not a curated record
ACCCCCGCCUCGCGACCCGCAGCCGCCGCCAGGGCCCUCUGCUGCCGCGGAGGUGCUAGGACAGCCGCGGACGGCCUGCCUCCCCGUGCCCUGGGCCUCGAGGCCAAUAAAAAGCUCGCCCCCUCCAGCUCACCGGGUCCGACGGGUACAGUACAAAGUGCUGUCUCUCGCCACAGCCGCCCUUGUGACAAUAAAAGCAAUAAGGCAAAUGUCCAUGGGGCGCUCACGUUUAUGCAUGAACAAAGAAAGCUGAGAUACGGAGACGGGUGAUCCGUCGAGGUAAUAAACGGCACAGGUGGGGUUUGAGCUCCAUCAGUUUGAUUGCAGAGGCCUGGAACAACCCUACAGGCUUCUCUCGGAUCUUUUCUGGACCUUUUUCUGUACGCUUUGCACCUAGGACGUGAGGCUGCCAAGCUCGGUAUUCAAUAAAUAUUGAUGGAUGAAGGAACAAUGGAAGAAAGGAGUGUAUGGGUAAACAAAUGACAAAUAUGUCAAAGCACGGACGCAGAUUCUUAGAAUGGGCUAAUGCUGUUUUCUGCUGGAUUUUUGGAUGUGAGCAAGCGAGUUCUCUCACAAUACAGAUCCACAGUGUCUGGGUCAGAGGAGAACUGAUGCUGGGCAUGGCAUUUCACCAUCUUGCCUGCCUGCCUGGGGCCCUGGGCCUACAGGCUUUGAGGACAGUGUAUGGCGAGGCUGCAACCUUCUUGGGCUAAAGGUCUGCCUUUUAGUCUCUUAUCCUACUUUUUAGAAGCCCUUUAAGGUCUUUGUAAAAGGAAAUCUAAUGUGAAGAAUUCCAGGAAAACUGGAUAAGCCUGACUAUGGGUGGGCGUGACUGAAUUACUUCCCGGGCUGGCUAAGGAAGGGCUCCCCCGAAGUGCAUCGGAAGCCUGCAGCUUCUCCUUAUGGCCACUGGAGGGCACUUGGACCAUGAAAUACGAGAUCGUCUCAGCGUCCCAGGUCUUUGGAGAUGGUGUGAUUCAAUUCAACAAACGUUUCGAAAUCAUCACCAUAAUGAUAGCGCUUUUGUAUUGAAUAUCCAAUAUGGUGCUAAACACCUUAUAUAUAUGUGUGCGUGUAUAUAUGAACUUGCUUAAUAUUUACUACCAUUGCUGUGAGUUACUUAGGCUAUUUAGGAAAAAAAAUCAAGGCUUAAAGAAGUCAAAGUACUUACCCAAGAUUGCUUAGCUAAAUAAAAUUUGGGAGUAAGGACUUGAACUCAAGCCCUUGGGCACCAACCAUAAGUAAUAGGUGCACACAAAGCUGAAAUGAGGACUCUCUUAUAAGCAGAAAGACGCACACACCACACAAAUAUUAUUGUUCCUGAACAAUUUACACAUUCUGAAAUUGGAAGAUGACUUACAAUUUGUACAUUACAUGGUAAUGUUUCUUUUUUCCCUUGAAAUGAUGUUAUUAAAUAAAUGAAGUGUCUCACAA